UCGCGUCAAGCGCCGUAGGCAGGAGCGGGGGACCCAAGGUAAGCGCCGGGCCCAGCAGUUCACGCUGGACCGGCUUGGGGUGAAGCCGCGCACCGCGAGGUGCGCGACCGGGCAACUCAACCGGCCCGAACCCGACAGCUCACCUCGCAGGCGUCGGUGAGGGGAUCC
This 168-nucleotide small RNA is filed under the name Streptomyces sp. RNAcentral's name for it is "c-di-AMP sequence". It matches the Rfam family "c-di-AMP riboswitch aptamer (ydaO/yuaA leader)". From Rfam's summary of the family: This family represents a conserved RNA structure found upstream of the ydaO and yuaA genes in Bacillus subtilis and related genes in other bacteria. The ydaO/yuaA element is thought to act as a genetic "off" switch for the ydaO and yuaA genes in its native state. Lineage: Bacteria; Bacillati; Actinomycetota; Actinomycetes; Kitasatosporales; Streptomycetaceae. The record is from RNAcentral.